This 422-nucleotide ribosomal RNA is filed under the name uncultured archaeon. Its description in RNAcentral is "partial 16S ribosomal RNA". It matches the Rfam family "Archaeal small subunit ribosomal RNA", at positions 323 to 746 of the family's 1478-position model. The record is from RNAcentral.
CUACGGGACGCAGCAGGCGAGAAAACUUUGCAAUGUGCGAAAGCACGACAAGGUUAAUCCGAGUGGUUUCUGCUAAAGGAACCUUUUGUCGGUCCUAGAAACACCGAUGAAUAAGGGGUGGGCAAGUUCUGGUGUCAGCCGCCGCGGUAAAACCAGCACCUCAAGUUGUCAGGAUGAUUAUUGGGCCUAAAGCAUCCGUAGCCGGCCCUGUUAGUUUUCGGUUAAAUCUGUAUGCUCAACAUACAGGCUGCCGGGAAUACUGCAGAGCUAGGGAGUGGGAGAGGUAGACGGUACUCGGUAGGAAGGGGUAACAUCCUUUGAUCUAUUGAUGACCACCUGUGGCGAAGGCGGUCUACCAGAACACGUCCGACGGUGAGGGAUGAAAGCUGGGGGAGCAAACCGGAUUAGAUACCCCAGUAGUC